This 434-nucleotide ribosomal RNA is filed under the name bacterium. RNAcentral describes it as "bacterial SSU rRNA". It matches the Rfam family "Bacterial small subunit ribosomal RNA", at positions 438 to 860 of the family's 1533-position model. The record is from RNAcentral.
GUUAGGGAAGAACAAGUGCAAGAGUAACUGCUUGCACCUUGACGGUACCUAACCAGAAAGCCACGGCUAACUACGUGCCAGCAGCCGCGGUAAUACGUAGGUGGCAAGCGUUGUCCGGAAUUAUUGGGCGUAAAGGGCUCGCAGGCGGUUUCUUAAGUCUGAUGUGAAAAGCCCCCGGCUCAACCGGGGAGGGUCAUUGGAAACUGGGAAACUUGAGUGCAGAAGAGGAUGAGUGGAAUUCCACGUGUAGCGGUGAAAUGCGUAGAGAUGUGGAGGAACACCAGUGGCGAAGGCGACUCUCUGGUCUGUAACUGACGCUGAGGAGCGAAAGCGUGGGGAGCGAACAGGAUUAGAUGACCCUGGUAGUCCACGCCGUAAACGAUGAGUGCUAAGUGUUAGGGGGUUUCCGCCCCUUAGUGCUGCAGCUAACGCAU